Saccostrea echinata is the source of this 74-nucleotide non-coding RNA. NCBI's taxonomy places the organism in Eukaryota, Metazoa, Mollusca, Bivalvia, Ostreida, Ostreidae. The record is from the annotation of a RefSeq genome assembly.
GGCCUGGGUAGCUCAGUUGGUAGAGCACCUGACUAAUGAUGCACUGGUCCCGGGUUCAAUUCCCGGUCCAGCCA